GGUUCCGUGGUGUAGGGGUUAACAUGCCUGCCUGUCACGCAGGAGUUCGCGGGUUCAAACCCCGUGGGGACCGCCA
Molecule: transfer RNA, 76 nt
Filed under: Listeria monocytogenes
Lineage: Bacteria; Bacillati; Bacillota; Bacilli; Caryophanales; Listeriaceae
Description: tRNA-Asp
Rfam family: tRNA
About the family: Transfer RNA (tRNA) molecules are approximately 80 nucleotides in length. Their secondary structure includes four short double-helical elements and three loops (D, anti-codon, and T loops). Further hydrogen bonds mediate the characteristic L-shaped molecular structure. tRNAs have two regions of fundamental functional importance: the anti-codon, which is responsible for specific mRNA codon recognition, and the 3' end, to which the tRNAs corresponding amino acid is attached (by aminoacyl-tRNA synthetases). tRNAs cope with the degeneracy of the genetic code in two manners: having more than one tRNA (with a specific anti-codon) for a particular amino acid; and 'wobble' base-pairing, i.e. permitting non-standard base-pairing at the 3rd anti-codon position.
Source: RNAcentral